AUAUCAGUCAUGCAUAGCAUAUCAAUAAGCGGAGGAAAAGAAACUAACAAGGAUUCCCUUAGUAACGGCGAGUGAAGCGGGAAGAGCUCAAAUUUGAAAUCUUCAAGGUUUUACCUUGACGAAUUGUAGUUUAAAGAAGUGUUUUCUGUUGAAGUUUUGGUAAAAGUUCUUUGGAAUAGGACAUCAUAGAGGGUGAGAAUCCCGUAUUUGACCAUUACUUUCAGCUUUGUGAUACACUUUCAAAGAGUCGGAUUGUUUGGGAAUGCAGUCCAAAAUGGGUGGUAAAUUUCAUCUAAAGCUAAAUAUUGGCGAGAGACCGAUAGCGAACAAGUACCGUGAGGGAAAGAUGAAAAGAACUUUGAAAAGAGAGUUAAACAGUACGUGAAAUUGUCAAAAGGGAAGCGUUUGACACCAGUGUUGUUUUCUCGAAAAUCAAUUAAAAAGAGUUGGAUUUUGUGUUGUAUUGACCUUUAUCAGGCUUUCUUCACUCUUUUCCUAGCUUUUUUUAAUGCACUUUUCGUUUAACAAGUCAACAUCAGUUUCUUUUGUUGUAAAAAGGUCAUUGGAAGGUGGCUUUCUCUUCGGAGAAAGUGUUUAUAGCCUUUGACUCAUGCAAUCGGAGAGACUGAGGUCUGCAGCGUAGAUCCUUCGGGGUUAGAUACAUUUGUGCUAAGUUAUAGCUUUUCAUAGACAACUUGUUGACUAUGUUUAGUCUUGUAGCUUACUCGCUUAUGCUAUUUUACCUACGCUUAGGAUGUUGAGCUCUAUCACACACAG
RNAcentral lists this ribosomal RNA (777 nucleotides) under uncultured Neocallimastigales. RNAcentral's name for it is "partial large subunit ribosomal RNA". It matches the Rfam family "Eukaryotic large subunit ribosomal RNA", at positions 22 to 616 of the family's 3401-position model. The record is from RNAcentral. Lineage: Eukaryota; Fungi; Neocallimastigomycota; Neocallimastigomycetes; Neocallimastigales.